Molecule: ribosomal RNA, 282 nt
Filed under: uncultured prokaryote
Description: partial 16S ribosomal RNA
Rfam family: Bacterial small subunit ribosomal RNA
Source: RNAcentral
UACGUAGGGGCGAGCGUUGUCCGGAAUUAUUGGGCGUAAAGGGUUCGUAGGCGGUUAAAUAAGUCAGGUGUGAAAGCCAUAGGCUCAACCUAUGUAAGCACUUGAAACUGUAUAACUUGAGUUAAGGAGAGGAAAGUGGAAUUCCUAGUGUAGCGGUGAAAUGCGUAGAUAUUAGGAGGAACACCGGUGGCGAAGGCGGCUUUCUGGACGAUAACUGACGCUGAGGCGCGAAAGCGUGGGGAGCAAACAGGAUUAGAUACCCUGGUAGUCCCUGAGCGGGCU